This 1012-nucleotide ribosomal RNA is filed under the name Nocardia kruczakiae. Its description in RNAcentral is "bacterial SSU rRNA". It matches the Rfam family "Bacterial small subunit ribosomal RNA", at positions 8 to 1038 of the family's 1533-position model. The record is from RNAcentral. Lineage: Bacteria; Bacillati; Actinomycetota; Actinomycetes; Mycobacteriales; Nocardiaceae.
AGAGUUGAUCAUGGCUCAGGACGAACGUUGGCGGCGUGCUUAACACAUGCAAGUCGAGCGGUAAGGCCCUUUGGGGUACACGAGCGGCGAACGGGUGAGUAACACGUGGGUGAUCUGCCUCGCACUCUGGGAUAAGCCUGGGAAACUGGGUCUAAUACCGGAUAUGACCAUUGAUCGCAUGGUUGGUGGUGGAAAGAUUUAUCGGUGCGAGAUGGGCCCGCGGCCUAUCAGCUUGUUGGUGGGGUAAUGGCCUACCAAGGCGACGACGGGUAGCCGACCUGAGAGGGUGACCGGCCACACUGGGACUGAGACACGGCCCAGACUCCUACGGGAGGCAGCAGUGGGGAAUAUUGCACAAUGGGCGAAAGCCUGAUGCAGCGACGCCGCGUGAGGGAUGACGGCCUUCGGGUUGUAAACCUCUUUCGACAGGGACGAAGCGCGAGUGACGGUACCUGUAGAAGAAGCACCGGCCAACUACGUGCCAGCAGCCGCGGUAAUACGUAGGGUGCGAGCGUUGUCCGGAAUUACUGGGCGUAAAGAGCUUGUAGGCGGUUCGUCGCGUCGAUUGUGAAAACUUGCAGCUCAACUGCAAGCUUGCAGUCGAUACGGGCGGACUAGAGUACUUCAGGGGAGACUGGAAUUCCUGGUGUAGCGGUGAAAUGCGCAGAUAUCAGGAGGAACACCGGUGGCGAAGGCGGGUCUCUGGGAAGUAACUGACGCUGAGAAGCGAAAGCGUGGGUAGCGAACAGGAUUAGAUACCCUGGUAGUCCACGCCGUAAACGGUGGGUACUAGGUGUGGGUUUCCUUCCACGGGAUCCGUGCCGUAGCUAACGCAUUAAGUACCCCGCCUGGGGAGUACGGCCGCAAGGCUAAAACUCAAAGGAAUUGACGGGGGCCCGCACAAGCGGCGGAGCAUGUGGAUUAAUUCGAUGCAACGCGAAGAACCUUACCUGGGUUUGACAUACACCAGAAAGCCGUAGAGAUACGGCCCCCCUUGUGGUUGGUGUACAGG